GACGAACGCUGGCGGCGUGCUUAACACAUGCAAGUCGAACGGGAUCCGGGCUUUCGGGUUUGGUGAGAGUGGCGAACGGGUGAGUAACACGUGGGUAACCUGCCCCCUUCUUUGGGAUAACGUCGGGAAAUCGGCGCUAAUACUGGAUAUUCUUGCUGCAUCGCAUGGUGUGGUUUGGAAAGGGUUUCUGGUGGGGGAUGGGCUCGCGGCCUAUCAGCUUGUUGGUGGGGUGAUGGCCUACCAAGGCUUUGACGGGUAGCCGGCCUGAGAGGGUGUCCGGCCACACUGGGACUGAGACACGGCCCAGACUCCUACGGGAGGCAGCAGUGGGGAAUAUUGCACAAUGGGCGCAAGCCUGAUGCAGCGACGCCGCGUGAGGGAUGACGGCCUUCGGGUUGUAAACCUCUUUCAGUAUGGAACAAGGAUCCUUCUUUUGGGGGGUUUGAGGGUACGUGCAGAAGAAGCGCCGGCUAACUACGUG
This 481-nucleotide ribosomal RNA is filed under the name uncultured bacterium. Its description in RNAcentral is "partial 16S ribosomal RNA". It matches the Rfam family "Bacterial small subunit ribosomal RNA", at positions 28 to 507 of the family's 1533-position model. The record is from RNAcentral.